AAUAUUGGGCAAUGGAUGGAACCCUGACGCAGCAAGGCCGCUUGAGUGAUGAUGGUCUUCGACUCGUAAAGCACUUUCCUUGGGGAAGAAGGUCUCCGGACUUGACGGUACCUAAUGAGGAAGCCCCGUCUAACCACGGUCCAGCAGCCGCGGUAAUACGCAGGGGGCAAGCGUUGUCCGGAAGUAUUGGGCGUAAAGCGUGCGUAGGCGGCCUUUUAAGUCAGAUGUGAAAGCCCACGGCUUAACCGUGAGACUGCGUUUGAAACGGGAGGGCUUGAGUAUCGGAGAGUGUAGUGGAAUUCCCAGUGUAGCGGUGGAAUGCGUAGAUAUUGGGAGGAACACCAGUGGCGAAGGCGACUACCUGGACGAAAACUGACGCUGAGGUGCGAAAGCGUGGGGAGCAAAC
This 406-nucleotide ribosomal RNA is filed under the name uncultured bacterium. Its description in RNAcentral is "partial 16S ribosomal RNA". It matches the Rfam family "Bacterial small subunit ribosomal RNA", at positions 360 to 773 of the family's 1533-position model. The record is from RNAcentral.